GUGGAUGUAGCUCAGUCGGUUAGAGCGCUAGUUUGUGGAUCUAGAGGUCGAGGGUUCGAUCCCCUCCAUUCACC
Molecule: transfer RNA, 74 nt
Filed under: Bacteroidota bacterium
Lineage: Bacteria; Pseudomonadati; Bacteroidota
Also listed under: 1 other name
Description: Bacteroidetes bacterium (activated sludge metagenome) tRNA-His
Rfam family: tRNA
About the family: Transfer RNA (tRNA) molecules are approximately 80 nucleotides in length.
Source: RNAcentral